RNAcentral lists this ribosomal RNA (639 nucleotides) under Acinetobacter baumannii. RNAcentral's name for it is "bacterial SSU rRNA". It matches the Rfam family "Bacterial small subunit ribosomal RNA", at positions 110 to 745 of the family's 1533-position model. The record is from RNAcentral. Lineage: Bacteria; Pseudomonadati; Pseudomonadota; Gammaproteobacteria; Moraxellales; Moraxellaceae.
GUAAUGUCUGGGAAACUGCCUGAUGGAGGGGGAUAACUACUGGAAACGGUAGCUAAUACCGCAUAAUGUCGCAAGACCAAAGUGGGGGACCUUCGGGCCUCAUGCCAUCAGAUGUGCCCAGAUGGGAUUAGCUAGUAGGUGGGGUAACGGCUCACCUAGGCGACGAUCCCUAGCUGGUCUGAGAGGAUGACCAGCCACACUGGAACUGAGACACGGUCCAGACUCCUACGGGAGGCAGCAGUGGGGAAUAUUGCACAAUGGGCGCAAGCCUGAUGCAGCCAUGCCGCGUGUGUGAAGAAGGCCUUCGGGUUGUAAAGCACUUUCAGCGGGGAGGAAGGCGUUAAGGUUAAUAACCUUGGCGAUUGACGUUACCCGCAGAAGAAGCACCGGCUAACUCCGUGCCAGCAGCCGCGGUAAUACGGAGGGUGCAAGCGUUAAUCGGAAUUACUGGGCGUAAAGCGCACGCAGGCGGUCUGUCAAGUCGGAUGUGAAAUCCCCGGGCUCAACCUGGGAACUGCAUUCGAAACUGGCAGGCUAGAGUCUUGUAGAGGGGGGUAGAAUUCCAGGUGUAGCGGUGAAAUGCGUAGAGAUCUGGAGGAAUACCGGUGGCGAAGGCGGCCCCCUGGACAAAGACUGACG